Molecule: ribosomal RNA, 694 nt
Filed under: uncultured bacterium
Lineage: Bacteria
Description: bacterial SSU rRNA
Rfam family: Bacterial small subunit ribosomal RNA
Source: RNAcentral
CUGCCCAAGAGACUGGGAUAACACCUGGAAACAGAUGCUAAUACCGGAUAACAACACUAGACGCAUGUCUAGAGUUUGAAAGAUGGUUCUGCUAUCACUCUUGGAUGGACCUGCGGUGCAUUAGCUAGUUGGUAAGGUAACGGCUUACCAAGGCAAUGAUGCAUAGCCGAGUUGAGAGACUGAUCGGCCACAUUGGGACUGAGACACGGCCCAAACUCCUACGGGAGGCAGCAGUAGGGAAUCUUCCACAAUGGACGAAAGUCUGAUGGAGCAACGCCGCGUGAGUGAAGAAGGGUUUCGGCUCGUAAAGCUCUGUUGGUAGUGAAGAAAGAUAGAGGUAGUAACUGGCCUUUAUUUGACGGUAAUUACUUAGAAAGUCACGGCUAACUACGUGCCAGCAGCCGCGGUAAUACGUAGGUGGCAAGCGUUGUCCGGAUUUAUUGGGCGUAAAGCGAGUGCAGGCGGUUCAAUAAGUCUGAUGUGAAAGCCUUCGGCUCAACCGGGGAAUUGCAUCAGAAACUGUUGAACUUGAGUGCAGAAGAGGAGAGUGGAACUCCAUGUGUAGCGGUGGAAUGCGUAGAUAUAUGGAAGAACACCAGUGGCGAAGGCGGCUCUCUGGUCUGCAACUGACGCUGAGGCUCGAAAGCAUGGGUAGCGAACAGGAUUAGAUACCCUGGUAGUCCAUGCCGUAAAC